UGGUCUGCAUGGCUGGAGAAACCCUGA
Molecule: non-coding RNA, 27 nt
Filed under: Rattus norvegicus (Norway rat)
Lineage: Eukaryota; Metazoa; Chordata; Mammalia; Rodentia; Muridae
Source: RNAcentral